Micropterus salmoides (largemouth bass) is the source of this 1598-nucleotide long non-coding RNA. RefSeq lists it as uncharacterized. The transcript has 5 exons. NCBI's taxonomy places the organism in Eukaryota, Metazoa, Chordata, Actinopteri, Centrarchiformes, Centrarchidae. The record is from RefSeq and is a predicted model, not a curated record.
UCCAACAACUGAGGCAACAACACCCGCUCCAACAACCGAAGCAACAACGACACCUGCCCCAACAACUGAGGCAACAACACCUGCCCCGACAACAACUGAGGAAACAACGACACCUGCCCCGACAACCGAAACGACACCUGUCCCGACAACCGAAACAACAACAACACCUGCCCCGACAACUGAGGCAACAACGACACCUGCUCCAACAACUGAAGCAACAACGACACCUGCUCCAACAACCAAAGCAACGACACCUGCCCUGACAACGACAACUGCUGCACCAAACACGACUUUGACUGUUCAACCUAUUUACUAUGUCUUAAUAAUUUUGGAAGUUUCUUUUUCAAUUGACCUCAAUAACCCCAACAGCAGUCUAUACAAAGAUCUUGAGCAUCGAGUUGUAGCUACGUGUGAGUUCAUAUACAGACCAAGAUUUGUUCAGUUUGACCACUGUUCUAUGACAAUGUUCAGGAGUGUCCAAAUUCCAGCCAAUGGAACUGAAGCAGAGCUGCAGAUUGUGUUCAAUCAGAAAACUCGCUCUGCAGAACUCCCACAGAACAGUGUCGUUGCUCAAACCUUAGUAGAGGCUGUGAGUAAUACCAACAACAGCUUCAAUGUGACCAUAAAUCCCAAGAAAGUCAAAAUAAUAGCAGGUCCAGUUCCAUCUACGACUACCACAUCUACAAAUGCUGCACCAAUCAACGUGAAUGGCACCCAAUCAAGUGGAGUGAGCCACAAGAUCAGUCUCGUUACUGCAUCCUGCCUGGUAUUGUUGUCAUGGAUACUAUCAAGCCAGCAAUAGCAUCAGUGCUGAUUACCAUUUGAAUUGCCAGCAGACUAUGACUGCCAUUACUGGUAUGAACAAGGACUUUGUUGUCGGUAAAAAUCCAAGAUUCAUGAUGGUCUUUGCUCUUGUAUGUAGAAUGACACAGCCAACUUUAAGCACCUGGCCCAUUGAAUCAUCACUACAAUAACAACCUAAACAAAAUAACAAUACUGUCUGUUAAGCCCUGGGAUGUCAGAAAUGGUUGCACUCUUUGACUUUUUAUUUAAAAUGUAAUGUAUAAAUGCAUCUUGCUUCUCUGAGCACUGUGCUAUAGCAAUAUUUAACUUUCAGUACUAAUUCUGUUCUUAGGUCAUGUUAAACAAGUAAAAUCAGCCACACUGGAAAGUAAAAUCACCUUCACCAUUGUCUGAAUGUAUUUUAUUUUGAAACGUGCCGAUUGAGAAAUUCAAAUGUGAGAUGUCUGUGAAGUUAGUUGUCAUCAACACAGGUCAUUUUACAAGCAAAGAUGAUUCAAAAUGGUGUUUUACUCAGACCUUCAAAUUAUCUAAACCUUUCUGUAACUUUCAAAAGCAUGUGAAAUUUAUGUUUAGGUUUCAUUUAGUGUACAUAUUGUAUUUAUGUAAUCACGUAUACCUAUAUUCUGUGAGACUAUUGUGGUUUGUAUAAUUUCUAUCAGAAACUUUACAAUGAUCAGAAUGCAAAUUAUUUUGUGAAUUUAAAUUGACUCUAGUGUGAUGUUUUUCAUGAGUAAACAGAAAAUGUAUCAGGGCAUGUUUAACCUUGUACAACUCUUAUAAAAUUGAAACACCUA